This 405-nucleotide ribosomal RNA is filed under the name uncultured bacterium. Its description in RNAcentral is "bacterial SSU rRNA". It matches the Rfam family "Bacterial small subunit ribosomal RNA", at positions 917 to 1345 of the family's 1533-position model. The record is from RNAcentral.
GGGCCCGCACAAGCGGUGGAGUAUGUGGUUUAAUUCGAUGCAACGCGAAGAACCUUACCAGGGUUUGACAUCCUGCGAAUCUCUUGGAAACAGGAGAGUGCCUUCGGGAACGCAGUGACAGGUGGUGCAUGGCUGUCGUCAGCUCGUGUCGUGAGAUGUUGGGUUAAGUCCCGCAACGAGCGCAACCCACGUCUUUAGUUGCCAGCAUUUAGUUGGGCACUCUAGAGAGACUGCCGGUGAUAAACCGGAGGAAGGUGUGGAUGACGUCAAGUCCUCAUGGCCCUUACGGGUUGGGCUACACACGUGCUACAAUGGUAGUGACAAUGGGUUAAUCCCAAAAAGCUAUCUCAGUUCGGAUUGUCGUCUGCAACUCGACGGCAUGAAGUCGGAAUCGCUAGUAAUCGC